UUGGAGGGCAAGUCUGGUGCCAGCGGCCGCGGUAAUUCCAGCUCCAAUAGCGUAUAUUAAAGUUGUUGCAGUUAAAAAGCUCGUAGUUGAAUUUCGGGAUUGGCACAUCGGUCGUGCCUUAAGGGGCAUGAACUGGUGUAGCCAAUUUCUCACCUUCUGGAGAACCGCGAUGUCCUUAAUUGGGUGCCGCGAGGAACCAGGACCUUUACUUUGAAAAAAUUAGAGUGUUUAAAGCAGGCAUUUUGCUUGAAUACAUUAGCAUGGAAUAAUAAAAUAGGACGGAUGAUUCUAUUUUGUUGGUUUCUAGGACCACCGUAAUGAUUAAUAGGGAUAGUUGGGGGCAUUAGUAUUCAAUUGUCAGAGGUGAAAUUCUUGGAUUUAUUGAAGACUAACUACUGCGAAAGCAUUUGCCAAGGAUGUUUUCAUUAAUCAAGAACGAAAGCUAGGGGAUCGAAGACGAUCAGAUACCGUCGUAGUCUUAACCAUAAACUAUGCCGACUAGGAAUCAGACGAUGUUAAUUUUUUAAUGACUCGUUUGGCACCUUACGGGAAACCAAAGUGUUUGGGUUC
This 570-nucleotide ribosomal RNA is filed under the name uncultured Glomeromycotina. RNAcentral describes it as "SSU rRNA". It matches the Rfam family "Eukaryotic small subunit ribosomal RNA", at positions 548 to 1114 of the family's 1831-position model. The record is from RNAcentral. Lineage: Eukaryota; Fungi; Glomeromycota.